GAUGAACGCUAGCUACAGGCUUAACACAUGCAAGUCGAGGGGAAACGGCAUCGAAAGCUUGCUUUUGAUGGGCGUCGACCGGCGCACGGGUGAGUAACGCGUAUCCAACCUGCCCAUCACUUGGGAAUAGCCUUGCGAAAGUAAGACUAAUGCCCAAUGACAUCCCACGAAGGCAUCCGAAUGGGAUUAAAGAUUUAUCGGUGAUGGAUGGGGAUGCGUCUGAUUAGCUUGUUGGCGGGGUGACGGCCCACCAAGGCAACGAUCAGUAGGGGUUCUGAGAGGAAGGUCCCCCACAUUGGAACUGAGACACGGUCCAAACUCCUACGGGAGGCAGCAGUGAGGAAUAUUGGUCAAUGGGCGAGAGCCUGAACCAGCCAAGUAGCGUGCAGGAUGACGGCCCUAUGGGUUGUAAACUGCUUUUAUAAGGGAAUAAAGUGGGUCACGUGUGACUUUUUGCAUGUACCUUAUGAAUAAGGACCGGCUAAUUCCGUG
This 492-nucleotide ribosomal RNA is filed under the name uncultured bacterium. Its description in RNAcentral is "partial 16S ribosomal RNA". It matches the Rfam family "Bacterial small subunit ribosomal RNA", at positions 28 to 507 of the family's 1533-position model. The record is from RNAcentral.